UCCAGGUAUCAGAAUCAGCCAUAAAUAUUUCAAGAUAUUUGUUGAUAAAUUCAAUAGCCUCUGACAUGUUGCCUUGUGCCUUUGCCAAAGCCACCCUCCUUUUAUGUAUUACCUGAUCCAAUGGAUUAUCCUCUAGCAAGCUUAAGUAAGCCUUUUCUGCCUCUGCCCCUUUGCUUCAAGUAACAUGCCCUCCAGUCUGCCAACUCUUUUGCUCUCUGGAAAUCUCUUCUGCAACACAUUAAUGCAGUCCUUUGCAACAUCAAGACAUUGGCAGUCCAUAGCUGCAAUUGCCACCUGUUCAUAAAGAGUCCAUUCUUCAGGACCGAGACUGGAUCGCUUCUUGGGGUCAUUCAAGAUAGAUAAACCAUACUUCAAGACCUUAUCAGAGCGCCUAACCUUAAGCUUCCUGACGAAGCAGAGAUAGUCCCAAGCUCCUCCACCUCCAUUCUCCACCUGACCCUCCAACCUAUUCAACUGCGUCUCCUCUGUUUUGGUCACCAUAUUGGUCUUCCCUUCUUCGUUUGCGUUAAGGCUUCUGUGGCCGGUUCUCGGAUCUGU
RNAcentral lists this unclassified non-coding RNA (558 nucleotides) under Hevea brasiliensis (rubber tree). The record is from RNAcentral. Lineage: Eukaryota; Viridiplantae; Streptophyta; Magnoliopsida; Malpighiales; Euphorbiaceae.